UUUUAUGUGUCUCAGAUUAGAAGUGAUGUGUGAUGCUGUGUGGUGAACCCUGAUCCUGAAUCCACCUCCAUCUCUGUCCUUUCACACGACACACAAACACUCACACACUGGCUGCCUGUCUGUAGGAGAUUUAGCUCACAUGACCGCCCUGAUGCUGCUCUAUCUGACCGCACUAAAGGGCCAACAGAUCGUCCGUCUCUUUGGUGUCCAUUAUCAGCUGUCAGCACAAAGACCUUUGACAAAUGUUUAAGUAAACAUUUCGAGGAACCCCCUCAGCUCCGGCGCCAGGAAACCUCUUGGAUAAUCUUGAAGGACUCUUGGGUGUAUCUGGAAGGUAUCGCUCCAUGACACAUUUUGUUAAUCAUCAGGGAUGAUUAAAGCUUAAGUUGAAAAUGUAACAAAUAGAACUCAAUCACAUGUUUCCAUAACUGUUACCCUGUUUGUGCUCUGCAGAAGUCAUUUCAAGAAGUGAGACGUUUGUUUCAGCCCCUAUUCUCAAUACUGUGACGCCCCCUGCUGUACUAAAAUUGACAUUUUUCUUUAUUGUGCAAGAUCUUUGAAACCUGAAAGAGGAUCUGUUGACACUGCUGUUCAAUCAGUCAGACAUUUUUUGUUAGUAUGUUAAGUGCCUUAUAUUUGGCUCUCUGUAUUCAGUCAGUGGCCACUUUAUUUUUUAGUGAAAAAUCUACUGAAACACAACAGCUCAGCCAUAACAUUUACUUUUAUGAUGCCUUUAAUGUUCAGGAUUCUUUACACUGUCAUGGAGAAGAUAAUUUCAUAUAUUAAUAUACAUAAUGAAGGCCAUGUAGACAAGACAGUUAUGUGAAAUAAAUAAACCAGCAGUUAAGUGUAACUAUGCGAGUUUUCCACUUUUAUUGAAGAAAUCUUUCCAGAAAAGUUUUGUUUGUGUU
Long non-coding RNA from Micropterus dolomieu (smallmouth bass), 911 nucleotides. RefSeq lists it as uncharacterized. The transcript is spliced from 3 exons. Lineage: Eukaryota; Metazoa; Chordata; Actinopteri; Centrarchiformes; Centrarchidae. The record is from RefSeq and is a predicted model, not a curated record.